Molecule: ribosomal RNA, 981 nt
Filed under: uncultured bacterium
Lineage: Bacteria
Description: bacterial SSU rRNA
Rfam family: Bacterial small subunit ribosomal RNA
Source: RNAcentral
UACAGGCUUAACACAUGCAAGUCGAGGGGCACCAGGAAGAAAGCUUGCUUUCUUUGCUGGCGACCGGCGCACGGGUGAGUAACACGUAUCCAACCUGCCCUUUACUCGGGGAUAGCCUUUCGAAAGAAAGAUUAAUACCCGAUAGCAUAAUGAUUCCGCAUGGUUUCAUUAUUAAAGGAUUCCGGUAAAGGAUGGGGAUGCGUUCCAUUAGGUUGUUGGUGAGGUAACGGCCCACCAAGCCUUCGAUGGAUAGGGGUUCUGAGAGGAAGGUCCCCCACAUUGGAACUGAGACACGGUCCAAACUCCUACGGGAGGCAGCAGUGAGGAAUAUUGGUCAAUGGGCGUUAGCCUGAACCAGCCAAGUAGCGUGAAGGAUGAAGGCUCUAUGGGUCGUAAACUUCUUUUAUAUAAGAAUAAAGUGCAGUAUGUAUACUGUUUUGUAUGUAUUAUAUGAAUAAGGAUCGGCUAACUCCGUGCCAGCAGCCGCGGUAAUACGGAGGAUCCGAGCGUUAUCCGGAUUUAUUGGGUUUAAAGGGAGCGUAGGUGGACUGGUAAGUCAGUUGUGAAAGUUUGCGGCUCAACCGUAAAAUUGCAGUUGAUACUGUCAGUCUUGAGUACAGUAGAGGUGGGCGGAAUUCGUGGUGUAGCGGUGAAAUGCUUAGAUAUCACGAAGAACUCCGAUUGCGAAGGCAGCUCACUGGACUGCAACUGACACUGAUGCUCGAAAGUGUGGGUAUCAAACAGGAUUAGAUACCCUGGUAGUCCACACAGUAAACGAUGAAUACUCGCCGUUUGCGAUAUACUGUAAGCGGCCAAGCGAAAGCAUUAAGUAUUCCACCUGGGGGAGUACGCCGGCAACGGUGAAACUCAAAGGAAUUGACGGGGGCCCGCACAAGCGGAGGAACAUGUGGUUUAAUUCGAUGAUACGCGAGGAACCUUACCCGGGCUUAAUUGCAGUGGAAUGAUGUGGAAACAUGUCAG